RNAcentral lists this ribosomal RNA (381 nucleotides) under Sphingomonas sp. CaGL9. Its description in RNAcentral is "bacterial SSU rRNA". It matches the Rfam family "Bacterial small subunit ribosomal RNA", at positions 41 to 450 of the family's 1533-position model. The record is from RNAcentral. Lineage: Bacteria; Pseudomonadati; Pseudomonadota; Alphaproteobacteria; Sphingomonadales; Sphingomonadaceae.
GGCAUGCCUAACACAUGCAAGUCGAACGAAGGCUUCGGCCUUAGUGGCGCACGGGUGCGUAACGCGUGGGAAUCUACCCUUGGGUUCGGAAUAACAGUGAGAAAUUACUGCUAAUACCGGAUGAUGUCGAAAGACCAAAGAUUUAUCGCCCGAGGAUGAGCCCGCGUAGGAUUAGCUAGUUGGUGAGGUAAAGGCUCACCAAGGCGACGAUCCUUAGCUGGUCUGAGAGGAUGAUCAGCCACACUGGGACUGAGACACGGCCCAGACUCCUACGGGAGGCAGCAGUGGGGAAUAUUGGACAAUGGGCGAAAGCCUGAUCCAGCAAUGCCGCGUGAGUGAUGAAGGCCUUAGGGUUGUAAAGCUCUUUUACCCGGGAUGAUA